Long non-coding RNA from Chenopodium quinoa (quinoa), 812 nucleotides. RefSeq lists it as uncharacterized. The record is from RefSeq and is a predicted model, not a curated record. The transcript has 2 exons. NCBI's taxonomy places the organism in Eukaryota, Viridiplantae, Streptophyta, Magnoliopsida, Caryophyllales, Amaranthaceae.
UCUCUUUAAAUUCCAAAGUCCUAAUAUAAACAAACCCCCUCUCCUUUAUCUUCCCUUGUCAAAAUUCUAAUGUUGGAGCUCUGCAAUCCACGUUCUUCUUCUGUGUCGGUAAAUCUCUACAAUUUUCUCUAUUUUUCUUGAAGCUAUCUCUUUCAAUGGCGUCCAAAAAAUCAAUAUGCUAUGGAUCUGGGUCGUCUUCUAGCGGUAUGGUGGGGUUUCAACCAAGGCUCAAGUGUCACCAUAACCUUGAUGCUGUUGUGCGAAUUGCUCAAAAAGGCCCUAAUUUUGGAAAAAAAAAAUUAGGGGGUGUUGCAAAUGGGCAGUUGAAGAUGUGGUUUUUUUGGGUGGAUACCAGAUAAUAGUAGGAAUGUUGAUUAUCAAUUGGAGAUUUUAGAGAAGGACACCAGAAUUGUUGAAUUAGAGCAUGAGAAGACAGAUUUGUAAGAAAAAGUGAAGAGGGUGCAAUCCAAAAAAAAAAAAGAAAUUAGAGGAUGAUGUGCAAGAUUUGAAGCAGGAGCUCUGCCAAAUGAGACUCGAGCUUAUGAAUUGUGCAAGGAAUGAAAUGAAUUUCUCACUAGCUUUGAUAUUCUCUUUGAUUUGUUUUGCUAUUCUUGUAUUUUAUUUGAAGCAGUAAGUGUUUAUGUAUUGAACUUUGUGAGGUAUUUUGUUGUUAGAAAUAAAUAUAUGAAGUUAUUUGAAAAAUUGUAAGAAUCAAGUAAGCAUUAUGGUUGAUGUAAACACUUAUAUUAAUGUGAAAUGCUGUAAAGAUGAUUACAGUUUGGAUUGAAUUUUGAAGUACAUUGCAAAAGGUA